RNAcentral lists this ribosomal RNA (1530 nucleotides) under metagenome. RNAcentral's name for it is "bacterial SSU rRNA". It matches the Rfam family "Bacterial small subunit ribosomal RNA". The record is from RNAcentral.
AGAGUUUGAUCCUGGCUCAGGACGAACGCUGGCGGCGUGCCUAAUACAUGCAAGUCGAGCGGACAGAUGGGAGCUUGCUCCCUGAUGUUAGCGGCGGACGGGUGAGUAACACGUGGGUAACCUGCCUGUAAGACUGGGAUAACUCCGGGAAACCGGGGCUAAUACCGGAUGGUUGUUUGAACCGCAUGGUUCAAACAUAAAAGGUGGCUUCGGCUACCACUUGCAGAUGGACCCGCGGCGCAUUAGCUAGUUGGUGAGGUAAUGGCUCACCAAGGCAACGAUGCGUAGCCGACCUGAGAGGGUGAUCGGCCACACUGGGACUGAGACACGGCCCAGACUCCUACGGGAGGCAGCAGUAGGGAAUCUUCCGCAAUGGACGAAAGUCUGACGGAGCAACGCCGCGUGAGUGAUGAAGGUUUUCGGAUCGUAAAGCUCUGUUGUUAGGGAAGAACAAGUGCCGUUCGAAUAGGGCGGUACCUUGACGGUACCUAACCAGAAAGCCACGGCUAACUACGUGCCAGCAGCCGCGGUAAUACGUAGGUGGCAAGCGUUGUCCGGAAUUAUUGGGCGUAAAGGGCUCGCAGGCGGUUUCUUAAGUCUGAUGUGAAAGCCCCCGGCUCAACCGGGGAGGGUCAUUGGAAACUGGGGAACUUGAGUGCAGAAGAGGAGAGUGGAAUUCCACGUGUAGCGGUGAAAUGCGUAGAGAUGUGGAGGAACACCAGUGGCGAAGGCGACUCUCUGGUCUGUAACUGACGCUGAGGAGCGAAAGCGUGGGGAGCGAACAGGAUUAGAUACCCUGGUAGUCCACGCCGUAAACGAUGAGUGCUAAGUGUUAGGGGGUUUCCGCCCCUUAGUGCUGCAGCUAACGCAUUAAGCACUCCGCCUGGGGAGUACGGUCGCAAGACUGAAACUCAAAGGAAUUGACGGGGGCCCGCACAAGCGGUGGAGCAUGUGGUUUAAUUCGAAGCAACGCGAAGAACCUUACCAGGUCUUGACAUCCUCUGACAAUCCUAGAGAUAGGACGUCCCCUUCGGGGGCAGAGUGACAGGUGGUGCAUGGUUGUCGUCAGCUCGUGUCGUGAGAUGUUGGGUUAAGUCCCGCAACGAGCGCAACCCUUGAUCUUAGUUGCCAGCAUUCAGUUGGGCACUCUAAGGUGACUGCCGGUGACAAACCGGAGGAAGGUGGGGAUGACGUCAAGUCAUCAUGCCCCUUAUGACCUGGGCUACACACGUGCUACAAUGGACAGAACAAAGGGCAGCGAAACCGCGAGGUUAAGCCAAUCCCACAAAUCUGUUCUCAGUUCGGAUCGCAGUCUGCAACUCGACUGCGUGAAGCUGGAAUCGCUAGUAAUCGCGGAUCAGCAUGCCGCGGUGGAUACGUUUCCGGGCCUUGUACACACCGCCCGUCACACCACGAGAGUUUGUAACACCCGAAGUCGGUGAGGUAACCUUUUAGGAGCCAGCCGCCGAAGGUGGGACAGAUGAUUGGGGUGAAGUCGAAACAAGGUAGCCGUAUCGGAAGGUGCGGCUG